GACGAACGCUGGCGGCGUGCUUAACACAUGCAAGUCGAACGAUGAAGCCGGAGCUUGCUCCGGUGGAUUAGUGGCGAACGGGUGAGUAACACGUGAGCAAUCUGCCCUUGACUCUGGGAUAACUGCGGGAAACUGUAGCUAAUACCGGAUACGACACCUUGGGGCAUCCCAGGGGGUGGAAAGAAUUUCGGUCAAGGAUGAGCUCGCGGCCUAUCAGCUGGUUGGUGAGGUAAUGGCUCACCAAGGCGACGACGGGUAGCCGGCCUGAGAGGGUGACCGGCCACACUGGAACUGAGACACGGUCCAGACUCCUACGGGAGGCAGCAGUGGGGAAUAUUGCACAAUGGGCGAAAGCCUGAUGCAGCAACGCCGCGUGAGGGAUGAAGGCCUUCGGGUUGUAAACCUCGUUUAGCAGGGAAGAAGCGAAAGUGACGGUACCUGCAGAAAAAGCACCGGCUAACUACGUGCCAGCCGCCGCAGUAA
Molecule: ribosomal RNA, 483 nt
Filed under: uncultured bacterium
Lineage: Bacteria
Description: partial 16S ribosomal RNA
Rfam family: Bacterial small subunit ribosomal RNA
Source: RNAcentral